UACGUAGGGGGCAAGCGUUGUCCGGAAUCAUUGGGCGUAAAGCGCACGUAGGCGGCCCGGUAAGUCCGUUGUGAAAGUCAGAGGCUCAACCUCUGGAGGCCAAUGGAUACUGCCGGGCUAGAGUCCGGAAGAGGCGAGUGGAAUUCCUGGUGUAGCGGUGGAAUGCGCAGAUAUCAGGAGGAACACCAAUGGCGAAGGCAGCUCGCUGGGACGGUACUGACGCUGAGGUGCGAAAGCGUGGGGAGCGAACAGG
RNAcentral lists this ribosomal RNA (253 nucleotides) under Solirubrobacterales bacterium. RNAcentral describes it as "partial 16S ribosomal RNA". It matches the Rfam family "Bacterial small subunit ribosomal RNA", at positions 524 to 776 of the family's 1533-position model. Lineage: Bacteria; Bacillati; Actinomycetota; Thermoleophilia; Solirubrobacterales. RNAcentral also lists the same sequence under 3 other names. The record is from RNAcentral.